GGCCUUUUUUGGGAAUGCCUUUUCUUGGUCGUCGUAGAGAGGAACAGUUUUUUGUUCUUUGUUCGACAUAUGCGAACAAGUGGUAUGGUUUCAAGUAUUCUCAAACAUUCAACAGAUUCGUUCUUGUGUGUUCUGCGCAUCUUAUCCGAUUAAUCAUUGGUAGUACCACCAAAUAGGUUAAUCUGAAAGUGAACACACGAUUUGUGUAGAAAUCCAGGUUUUUUCUUUAUCUCACUUUUCUUGCAAUUGUUUCGAAAUUAGUUAGUAAUCACUCAAAAAUACAACAAAGAUUAACCUAUUUUCAUUGUUUGUUAUACUACUAAAUCCAAUUUCGAGACAACGUGUUCGAUUUUGUUGUUGGGUUUCGGUUUGCAAUUCGUGUUUUGCCACCGUGGUGUUACUUUUAUUGGGUUCUUGAAUUAUAUUAUCUUCAUCGGAUUUGUGAUUAUUAAAAUGCUUCAUGUGUGUGUGCUUGAAUUGAUAUUUGAGGUUUUCAUCAUCAAAAACUAGAAACACAUGACUCAUAGAGUUUGUUGAAGGCACAUAUAAAUCAUCAUGUAGAUUUUUCUUAAAAGUUGAUUGUGGGACCAUGGAAUGGGUAUCCAAACAUCUGACCUUUAGGGUUAUUUUAUGUUUAUUAAUGUUAAUUUUGGAUAACUUAACAUGUGUUGGAUAAUUUAGGCUGCUAAUUGAUAAAUGAUUCAUUAGUUACCAAUUCAGUACGAAUUGUUUGUCUUGAAUUGCAAUUAACAAUUAAAUUUGGCUUCUUAUGGAUUUAUAAGUAAAACAAGAAACGUACGCAUCGCUGAAUCAUACGGGUAGUCGGUUAAUUUUGGUUUGAAAAGAAUAAACUAUCUCGGUGUUCAUGGUUGAAUCAGACGGGUAGUCGGUUGCGUGCUUUGUUGGGUUAAGUGAUGACCAGGUCUUCGAUUUUGUUUGAAAUCUCCAGCCUCUCGAUUGGGGCUGUUGUCAGUUAAUUUUGGUUCGAAAAUAACCGGGUAGGAAAAAAGAAGAAGAGACUGUCGUCACGGUUUUUCUUUUGCUCGUAGGACGCAUUGAUUGCCACCCGGCGGUCGACGGCGGACGUCGUAACCGGCUUUAACACCCCGACAAUUAAUGAGACAACAAGCAUCGGCUUUCUCGCAUGAUAGAGCAUAUCCACAUAGGCUUGUGUAUAUGUUUUUCUUUGUUUGCUAGAUGAAUGAUUGCAUGGGAUGAAUGUGAGUUUAGUGACUUAGUCAUCAAUCUCAAAAAGACUAAACACAAAUCUAAGUGAUGAUUGUUCAAUUAAUUUUCAUUAGUAUACUUGUUGCAUAUAUGUGUAUACAUAUAGAUACAUGUACGGGUGUUUUUUUUUUUUGCUUGUUGAAUUGAAUGGGACAUGGUAUGUAAAUAAAUAAAAGGUUUUCUAAACACUAUACACACAAGUGUAUGGAUCAUAUUUUAAACAAAAUACAAGGGUUUUGUUGUCUGUUUGUCAACUGAAGUGAAACCAACACUUGUGUCGUGAAUUCGUCGACCAUAACAAAACCCGUGGAGUGUUUUAAUUUGCACAAGGAAUAUCAAAGAAGGCCUACAUGCGGUCUUUCAAUCAUCGAGCGUUGAAGGGGCUAUUUCUUGAUACGAACCGAAGGAACAAUGGUUUUCUUGCUUGUGAUCAUCUCAAUUUACAGAUUUCUUGCAUGUGCAGAUUCUAAAGGCAAGGAGAACAUAGUCGAUGACAAGCUUCGGAAUGAAGACACGACGUGAAGGCACUCAAAGGAUGAAGAUGAUCGAGUUUCCGCUGACCAUCAUCAACACCACAAGGAUCUCACUUCAUAAAGAUCAAGUUUUUCACGAGCAUAACUCAAGGGGGAGCUUAUGUUAAGGGGGAGUUUGUCAACACACUCUCUGCUUUCAAUACGUGAAGACUUUGAAGAUCCUCCGACUUUGAAGACUUGAAAGGACAUCAGAGUUUUGAGAACUCGAAGACCAAAGACCAUCGAAGUUCGAGACGAGUCUACAACUAUAGAAGAUAAAGACAAAGCUACAGCCAAGGGGGAGUUUGUUGGUGCACUUGUGUCUGUACUUUGUCUGUAUCCGGUCACGAUGUCUGUAUUCGGUCACGAUGUAAACGAUGUCCUUGUUAUUGUUGUAAGUUGACCAAGUCAACCAUCCUCCAGUUUGACUUGGACAACAGUUUGUAAAAUGUUGUAAGAUGUUCUGUGUCGAAGGAUAGCUAAUCGAAGGAUAUUGUAGAUCCUUCGAUGACAUCGAAAGAUAGGCUACGAAGGAUACUGUUAGACUUCGAAGGAUAUGCAAUCCUUCGAAGUAUUUGUGGAUCCUUCGACAGCUUUGUCAUCGAUAGAUGAUCCUUCGAUCAUCUAUCGGAUCCUUCGGACCAGACAUCAGAUGCUGGGUAUAUAUAUACCCAUGCAGUGUGUUCAACUAAAAAAAGUAGAUGCACACAGAAAGAGAGAGAGUAUUCUUGAGAGCAUUCUGUCCGAAACACACACACACACUUUGAGAGUUUGCAAGUUAGAUUUGUAAACAUUGUGCUUGUAACCGAAACCUUCAUACGUAUUAAUACAUUGGUGUUAAUCGGUGAACCUUGUGUGUUGUGUUUAUACUUGCUUCAUCCCGGUUUGCUUGCUAGCUUGGAUUCCGCACUCGCUAGUGAGUUUGUAUAACAAGGUUUAGGUUCGUCAUCCUCCGGAAAGGGACCUACAAGAAGGGUAUUCUGAAGCAAGUUGUAUAACUAAGUGGAUGGGUAUUCCUACUUGGUGGAGGUGUUAUCUCCUAGGCUUCAAAGAAGCAGACUUGCAUCAUAAAUUCAACAAUGGAAUCUGAAUUUGAAGCUUUAGUAGCAGCUACCGGUAAAGAAGCUGAGUGGCUAAGAAAUUUGAUCUUUGAGGUUCCUUUAUGUUCAAAACCGAUGUCACUAAUUUAUCUAUCAAAUGAGAUAGUGUUGGCUAAGGAUUUUUGUCAGAUGUAUAAUGGAAAGUCUAGACGGUUACGUGUUAUACAUAGCAUGAUUCAUGAGCUCACCAUGCAUAGAAUGACAUCUGUUGAAUAUGUAAGAUCUAAGUAUAAUUUGACUGAGUAGCUAACUAAAGAGUUAGGAGAGAUCUCGUGAAUAAAUCAGUCAUAGGGAUGGGUUUAAAGACCAUACUUUAAUAUCCUAUGUCAAGAUGCCCAAUUCCCAUCUAAUACAACAUUAGAUGCAGAAUUCAAUGUGGAAAGCUUGUCAUAGAGAUAUUGGAACACAUGAUCAAAAUCAUCCCAAGGUUGUGUUCAGACUGCAAGAUAAAGGAAGUUGAAGUAUAACUUCUUAAUAGUUUUUUUAAAAAUUGCAUUUGCAGGGGCGAGAAUAAAAGAACUACCUAUAAGAGUAUGAAGUUUAGCCACUUCAAAAAGCUUGGACUUGGCUUUGAUAUACUCUUUGAAGGAUUGGACACAGGCUAGUAAAAUAUUGUGUCAAGUAAGAACAUAUGAAUUUGUAAACUUAUGUGUAUAUUAUCUUCAGGUAUUCAUUAUGAACAGAAACGGUUCAAUCCAUAGCGACACCCUAAUAUUCAAAUAUUUGGAAUGUGUAAUAUACUAAUGUGAAAUUCAAUCGUCGCGAUAUUUCAUUUAUGCAUAAGUUUGUGUUUGCUUGAGAAGUAUUUUAAGUUAAUCAUGGAUAUCACUAAAAUGGGGGAGGAAUGUUGGUAAUUUUAGUGUUAUCAACGGAUUUUGGUGGUAUUGAAUUAACUUGUCGACUAAGUUAAUCUUAUUUUACAAUAAACGAGUUAGGAGAUGUGGGAGUGCAUGCUCGUUUAUAUCUAAUAAGAUUAGGUAUUUCAUAGAUUUGUAUUUAUAAUCUAUAUUUAAUUUUGGGCCUGUUUAUUAAUUGGUUUUGGGACACUUAAUAAAUUGUAUUCUCUUAAUUAAUUAAGAUUAAUUGGGCCCAAGGUUUGUUAUGAUAAUGUCGAUUGGGCUUCGUGGCCUAAAUGGAUCACAUGAUUAAUGUGGAUCUAUAUACUAAUUAAAAGGAAAAUCGAUGGGAGACCUUUUUUGGGAAUGCCUUUUCUUGGUCGUCGCAGGGAGGAACAGUUUUUUGUUCUUUGUUCGACAUAUGCGAACAAGUGGUACGGUUUCAAGUAUUCUCAAACAUUCAACAGAUUCGUUCUUGUGUGUUCUACGCAUCUUAUCCGAUUAAUCAUUGGUAGUACCACCAAAUAGGUUAAUCUGAAAGUGAACACACGAUUUGUGUAGAAAUCCAGGUUUUUUCUUCAUCUCAGUUUUCUUGCAAUUGUUUCGAAAUUGGUUAGUAAUCACUCAAAAAUACAACAGGCAACACACCUGGUAAACCCCUACAUACAAAGUCCAAGAAAAGCCAAACUGUUACCAAGGAUGACAUUGCGGAACCACUAUACUUUCUUAAUAUGUGUUAAUACUAUAAAGUUAUAAAGUAAUAAUGGGUUCUGAUUAGAACUAUUGAUUUUGGCAAGUUCCCGUUUGACACGUUAGAGAUGAAACAUAAUCUGAACCGACCGACUUAUAAGUAAGCGAAAACUUUUAUCUCCACCCUUAAAUCAUUCAAACAACAACCUUAUGAGAACAACACUGAACUUUGAUGGCAAUUAAUCUAUUAAGAACAUGUAUACAUAGCAUCCUAAUCAUAGAAAUUUGUGUUGACACAUAUCAGUCUGAUCCAAAAAUGUUAGCUGAUACCAUUAUACAACGUUUAAAUAAAGUCUAGUGCGAAUCUGGUCAAAGUAGUGUUGCUGGUAUUUUUUCAAUUUCUACAUUAUCUUAUUUAUAUCCAGUGAGCUUAUGUACUCUACCAAAGAAAGUGUGAAGUACCUUGAAAGAGCUCCCCUAGUCCGUGCUGCGUGUUGGAUGGUUCCUUUUUGUGCCCGCUCCCUACUCAAGCUCUGCAUUAAACUAGUAUAUUGUCAUAUGGGAUAUAUAUUAGUUUGCACUUUGCAGUUUAUGUAGUAAUGGUUACCUCCAUAUGACAUGCAUAUUAAAGCUUACCUCCAUUAGCCUAUUAAUACAGAAAGGAGACAUUGCGCUUUAAACCAUAGCUUACCUCCAUAGACAAAAAAAGAAGAUAUCCAAUCAUGUCAUCGUAUAGGGUGUAUAAUGAUAAGUAGUUUAGAGCGCUUUAAACUAAAGCUUACCUCCAUUAGCCUGUUAAUACAAAAAAUUAAACUAAAGUGCUCUGCCAUUGUAUUUUAUGGAAUUAGUUAAGAUAGUAACAUUAUUAGAGCAUUCAUGAUGAGAGCCUAACGGAAAAUAGCAGUAGGUUAUUAAGAUCACAAAUAGAGUAUGCAUCUUUUGAUGUAUUUCAAGGUAUUUAAUAAAUAUAGAAUGCAUUAUCAACCACACAAAACUUUGGUAGGUUUAUACGAUGACUAAUCUAUUAAGGAUUAUAGAUUGUUUUCUUACCCAGUCACACUAACUAGAAAUAUUAAACGUAUUGAAACCCAGAAGGAGAGAGUUAUUCUAGAGAACAGCCGAUCUCCAAAUUGAAGCAUUGACAACCAAAGCAAAUUCUAGUAAUGGCUACUACAGUUACCUGUACACUCAUGUUCUGGGAUUUUGAUUCUAUUGGGGGCAGGAGAUUGACUCGACAACCAUAGUAAUCAACAACAUAUAUCACAUUUCAAACUAACCAAAACUAAAACUUUCACAACUAUCUGUCAAUUCUUUAACCAGAAAAACGAAAAUGGCGGAUAGAUGAACUGCAAAAUUAUGAUGCUUUACUCGUCGGUAGAUUUAACACACAAAAACCAAAUAUUGCAAUUUAGCCUCUUCGUCUACCUUAUCUAUGUUGUAUAAUUGGUCUAUAACAAGUAAUUCUCUGAAUCAUGUUGAAACCUGGAUUAUUCUCUAUAUCAUGUGAGAACUAUCAGAUUAACCUAUUUACGGGUUACACGCAAUGAUUUAUCGGAUUACACAGAGAAUUGCUCUUGAAGGAAUUCGGAUUUGACGAUUCUCUGUUAUUGAACUGUAGAGUUCUGUAUAAUGUAACGCCAAGCAUUUUAACUAAAAUGCCUUAUUCCAAAGUCUUCCUCUUGAAUAAACUUCGGGACGAAAUUUUCUAAAGGAGGGGAGACUGUAACGCCUCGCUUUUGUAACUUUCCUUAUUUAGAAAGUGAGAUCAUUUUUCUAUUUUUGGAAACUGUAAUCGUACCAUCUUCGUAUAUUAUUUUCAAUCUUGUAUCCGAGACUUUGAUCAUAAUGGAAUAUUAUUUU
Molecule: long non-coding RNA, 6225 nt
Filed under: Helianthus annuus (common sunflower)
Lineage: Eukaryota; Viridiplantae; Streptophyta; Magnoliopsida; Asterales; Asteraceae
Description: hypothetical non coding rna
Source: RNAcentral